CCUACGGGGGGCAGCAGUGGGGAAUAUUGGACAAUGGGGGCAACCCUGAUCCAGCCAUGCCGCGUGUGUGAAGAAGGCCCUCGGGUUGUAAAGCACUUUCAGUGAGGAAGAACGCCUGGUGGUUAAUACCCAUCAGGAAAGACAUCACUCACAGAAGAAGCACCGGCUAACUCCGUGCCAGCAGCCGCGGUAAUACGGAGGGUGCGAGCGUUAAUCGGAAUUACUGGGCGUAAAGCGCGCGUAGGUGGCUUGAUAAGCCUGUUGUGAAAGCCCCGGGCUCAACCUGGGAACGGCAUCCGGAACUGUCAAGCUAGAGUGCAGGAGAGGAAGGUGGAAUUCCCUGUGUAGCGGUGAAAUGCGUAGAGAUCGGGAGGAAUACCAGUGGCGAAGGCGGCCCUCUGGACUGACACUGACGCUGAGGUGCGAAAGCGUGGGUAGCAAACAGGAUUAGAUACCCGGGUAGUC
RNAcentral lists this ribosomal RNA (465 nucleotides) under Vreelandella stevensii. Its description in RNAcentral is "partial 16S ribosomal RNA". It matches the Rfam family "Bacterial small subunit ribosomal RNA", at positions 338 to 795 of the family's 1533-position model. Lineage: Bacteria; Pseudomonadati; Pseudomonadota; Gammaproteobacteria; Oceanospirillales; Halomonadaceae. The record is from RNAcentral.